Molecule: ribosomal RNA, 301 nt
Filed under: uncultured bacterium
Lineage: Bacteria
Description: partial 16S ribosomal RNA
Rfam family: Bacterial small subunit ribosomal RNA
Source: RNAcentral
CAGUAGCCGCGGUAAUACGAAGGGUGCAAGCGUCAAUCGGAAUUACUGGGCGUAAAGCGUGCGUAGGCGGUUUGUUAAGUCUGCUGUGAAAUCCCCGGGCUCAACCUGGGAAUGGCAGUGGAUACUGGCAAGCUAGAGUGUGUCAGAGGAUGGUGGAAUUCCCGGUGUGGCGGUGAAAUGCGUAGAGAUCGGGAGGAACAUCAGUGGCGAAGGCGGCCAUCUGGGACAACACUGACGCUGAGGCACGAAAGCGUGGGGAGCAAACAGGAUUAGAUACCCCUGUAGUCCCUGUCUCUUAUAC